Molecule: ribosomal RNA, 422 nt
Filed under: uncultured bacterium
Lineage: Bacteria
Description: bacterial SSU rRNA
Rfam family: Bacterial small subunit ribosomal RNA
Source: RNAcentral
UAAGGAAUAUUGGACAAUGGUCGCAAGACUGAUCCAGCCAUGCCGCGUGCAGGAAGACGGCCCUAUGGGUUGUAAACUGCUUUUGUACCAGAGAAAACCUAUCUACGUGUAGAUAGCUGAUAGUAUGGUAAGAAUAAGCAUCGGCUAACUUCGUGCCAGCAGCCGCGGUCAGACGAAGGAUGCAAGCGUUAUCCGGAUUCAUUGGGUUUAAAGGGUGCGUAGGCGGGCUUGUAAGUCAGUGGUGAAAUCUCUCAGCUUAACUGAGAAACUGCCAUUGAUACUGCAGGCCUAGAGUAUAGAUGACGUUGGCGGAAUAUGACAUGUAGUGGUGAAAUACUUAGAUAUGUCAUAGAACACCGAUUGCGAAGGCAGCUAACGAAACUAUAACUGACGCUGAGGCACGAAAGUGCGGGGAUCAAACA